UUUCUUUUCUUCACAAAACCCCCAAGAGUCCCUGCCAAAUGACGAAAGAACCAAAAACAAUUAACAUACUAUCUCCAGAUAGCAUUGUCCUUCACUAAAAACCCAGACAUUUGAUUCCAUUCAAUUCAUUGUACUUUUCUCAAGUGAGUCUUACAGAGCAAUCUUUUGAGAGAAACCAUAUUCCUCAAUUGCAACAAAGCUUGAAAAGCCACUGCAUACAUUUUUUUUCCAGAAGUGAAAUUUUCAUCACCAUUAUGGCUAAAAUAAAAGACAUUUCAAAAGACAUUGUAAAUGCCCCUUUCCUCUGCAGGGAAGAGUGGCUAUUAUGAAAUCUUUGCAGAAACUGCUCCCUGAUGUUGGCAUUAAUUUAAACGUUUGAUUUUUUGGUCUCCUGUUCUGUUAAAGUUGAGUAAGCAAAAGAUAGAAAAUCCCUAGGUCUUUGUUUGGCUUAACACAAAAAGCUUCUCUAAAAUAAGUGACAAAAAUUUAUCUAUUGCACAUGUGUAAAUUUUCAAAGAAUAUUGUGCUUGAGAGCUAAAAAGGACCUCAGAGUUUACCGGUAGAAACUCUUCAUUUGUGUGCAAGGAAACUAAAACUCUUUAGUUGCAUAAGGUGAUUGACCUAACUAUUACCUUCCCCAGAAAUUCUCACAGUCCCUUUGUAAUUUCCCAAUACCAUUCACCCGGAGUGGGAAAGAUGUUGGUAUGGUUAUAAGAUGUGAGACUGUCCAGACUUUUUUUCAACCUGUCAAUUAGUCUUGGUUUGACUAUCACGGUAUCAGAGAGAGAUGGCAAACUUACCAGUCUCAGAAAUUCAAAAAAUGUUCUGAUAGCUGAGAACCAAUACUACCAAAGAUCUGAACCUAUUUCUAAGACAAUUAGACUACGAAACAUUAUGAGGGAAAUGAAAGUUCACUAACACCCUGCACGUGCUUAUGUACCUCCCCAAAUCAACUUUUUGCUUCCUUCCCACUGGAAUAUUAGGCAAAUGAGUCAGUUAAUUUCAUGUUCAGAUUUAUAGACAAUAUGAAGGAUAUCUACUUGAGCGGGGAAAGCCCUGGUAGGUGCCUUCUAUGCUUCACCAGUCAGCCAGAAAAAAAGUUGGCAGUGUAGUGUCUAAUACAAAUCACACUCACUUCAGAGACUAGGAGUCAGGUAAAAAUUUCCCUUCUUCCCAAAGAUCUGGCACCUACUGUCAAGGUAGAAGACUCUUUCUUAACCUGUCUUCAAUCUCAUUUCUGUUACUUCCCUUUAAAAGUGCUUAAACAACAUCAGGAAGACGAGGUGGGGACCUCUCUGCUUUCUAGGGGAGAAAGAAUCACUAUUUUUCCUCACAUCAUUAUUGAACUGCUGGAGUAAAGAAUUCAACGCUUGCUAAAGGAAUUUUAUAAGUGGCCUGGGCUAUUUUGAUGAGGCGAGGGCUAAGGCUCAGUGAGGUCGCAGGUCAUGGACAGGCAUCCUUCUGGAAAAUGAAAAAGGUUUACGGACAGCUGUCUAUUAAUUAGAGGGCCCUUUCUUGGCAGUGAUGCAAACAGCUGACUUGACUUCUCUGCAAAGGUGAUGAGAUGAGUUCUGGUGGGAACAAUAAUGCUCUGUCUCCAAGUCCUACUGGGUAUGUACAUAGGUGUUUAUUUGUUGCCCUCUGACAUGUGCACAUUCACCUGCAUUCACUCUUUUUUGUGUAUUCUAUUUUUUUAAUUUAAUCGCAAAAAAUUUAAUUGCAGAUUCC
This 1728-nucleotide long non-coding RNA is filed under the name Canis lupus familiaris (dog). RNAcentral describes it as "lncRNA (ENSCAFG00845012239.1)". The record is from RNAcentral. Lineage: Eukaryota; Metazoa; Chordata; Mammalia; Carnivora; Canidae.